This 253-nucleotide ribosomal RNA is filed under the name uncultured bacterium. Its description in RNAcentral is "partial 16S ribosomal RNA". It matches the Rfam family "Bacterial small subunit ribosomal RNA", at positions 524 to 776 of the family's 1533-position model. The record is from RNAcentral.
UACGUAGGGUGCAAGCGUUGUCCGGAAUUAUUGGGCGUAAAGAGCUCGUAGGCGGUCUGUCGCGUCGGCUGUGAAAACUCGGGGCUCAACCCCGAGCCUGCAGUCGAUACGGGCAGACUAGAGUGCGGUAGGGGAGACUGGAAUUCCUGGUGUAGCGGUGAAAUGCGCAGAUAUCGGGAGGAACACCGGUGGCGAAGGCGGGUCUCUGGGCCGAAACUGACGCUGAGGAGCGAAAGCGUGGGGAGCAAACAGG